CGAUCCAGUGAUCGUUAGGGGCUGUGACACACCAACCCGAUAUCGGCCGUUGGACAGUCUGGCACGGUCAGUGACUCGAGUCCGUUGUGUGUUUUGCGU
Long non-coding RNA from Etheostoma spectabile (orangethroat darter), 99 nucleotides. RefSeq lists it as uncharacterized. Lineage: Eukaryota; Metazoa; Chordata; Actinopteri; Perciformes; Percidae. The record is from RefSeq and is a predicted model, not a curated record. The transcript is spliced from 4 exons.